UUAGCAGAGAUGCUUUGGUGCCUUCGGGAACUCUGAGACAGGUGCUGCAUGGCUGUCGUCAGCUCGUGUUGUGAAAUGUUGGGUUAAGUCCCGCAACGAGCGCAACCCUUAUCCUUUGUUGCCAGCGGUCCGGCCGGGAACUCAAAGGAGACUGCCAGUGAUAAACUGGAGGAAGGUGGGGAUGACGUCAAGUCAUCAUGGCCCUUACGAGUAGGGCUACACACGUGCUACAAUGGCAUAUACAAAGAGAAGCGACCU
RNAcentral lists this ribosomal RNA (258 nucleotides) under Klebsiella michiganensis. Its description in RNAcentral is "partial 16S ribosomal RNA". It matches the Rfam family "Bacterial small subunit ribosomal RNA", at positions 997 to 1255 of the family's 1533-position model. The record is from RNAcentral. Lineage: Bacteria; Pseudomonadati; Pseudomonadota; Gammaproteobacteria; Enterobacterales; Enterobacteriaceae.